AUCAUUCCAUAUUUAAUAAUUCAAUAUUUCGUGUACUUUUUAGAAUAAAAAAAAUGAUGAAAGCAACGACAAAGUACUGUUCCCAUCCUACUGUUUGUGUAAUGUGUAGUAUAUUUAGAGUUGCUGAUCCAAAUUUCAAAACCAUUGUCACGAUAGUGGACAAUUGCUCGAAGCAUUACGAAUAUCCAAGUUACCUUCCUACGACCAAAGUUGUAGUGGAGGGGGUUACUGUUAGGGAAUUCAAUUAAACCAGAUGUUGUGAGGGUUCUCGGUCACUUUUGUAUACCACAGAUUCAUCCUCUUCAGAUGAUUGGACGUCAUCACCUGUUGUCAUCCCCCUGCUGAUAACAAUGUCAAUUGCCUUGGUUGUCAUCAUGCUUAUUAUCAAAAUCAUAUCAGUGGUCAGGUAGAAAAAAAGGCCUUCAACAUAUGAUCCUGGGAAACAAGAUAGACCAUGUAGUAUAAUCUUUG
Long non-coding RNA from Saccostrea cuccullata (small rock oyster), 471 nucleotides. RefSeq lists it as uncharacterized. NCBI's taxonomy places the organism in Eukaryota, Metazoa, Mollusca, Bivalvia, Ostreida, Ostreidae. The record is from RefSeq and is a predicted model, not a curated record. The transcript is spliced from 3 exons.